Molecule: non-coding RNA, 30 nt
Filed under: Homo sapiens (human)
Lineage: Eukaryota; Metazoa; Chordata; Mammalia; Primates; Hominidae
Source: RNAcentral
UGCCUAGGACUCUGUGUGCCUGACCUCCUC